GUUUAACGUCCUGAGGUUUGGGGGUUAUGACACUGCUAUCUGAUACUAGCUAAUUGAUACACAUACCAAGUAACUGCAAGAAUGUAUAAGAACUUCGUAGUGGACACUGGCCAGGACACUCACCCUUCAGGGCACUCACCAACAACAGAGAGAAGGGGAAUGGCUGGAAGAACUGUCUAGAAGGUCCAAAUUCUUAAAACUGGUGUGUGGUUACAUUACUGUGACAAAAUACCCACGUUUAUCAACUUAAGAAAAGUUUCAGAGGUUUCAGUCCAUGCAAUGAGCCCGUUGGACCUGUGGCAAGGCUGCACACCAGGUCAUGAGCCUGUGGAGCAGGGAAGAGAGAGACAGGAAGGGGCAGGGAUGCCAGUACCUGCUUCAAGGACACACCCCCAAGGACCUCACUUCCUCCCACUAGGCCCCACCUCCUAGAGGCUCCACCCCUUCCAAUGGUGCUCAAGCUGGGGACCAAGCCUUCAGCACCUUUGGGGGACAUUCCACAUUGAACCUGUAGCAACUGGCAUGCCAGAGACAGAACUUCAGGAUCUGGAGCAAAAUUUGAACACUUCUAUCCUUGAAUCCAGGUAGGAGUCUGCAGAUUAAACACGUCCACAAGGGGCUGGGAUGUAGCUCAGUUGGUACCGUGCUUACCUCGAAUGCACAAGGCCCUGGUCCAGUCCCCAGCAUCACUAAAUGCCGCAGUCUGGCUGGGCACAAUUCAGGAGACACUUGUCAAAAGAAACGAACUUUAUUUUUAGAACCACACACGCCAAACCACACAGCUCCUCAGGAAAACCUUCAGAGCCCAACUGCCACCACCGGCUUCCCACAAGCCUCUCUACCUCCCCAACUCCUCCUGCUCUUGAGGCUGAUUGGCUGGGUCCUGUGGGCGGAGCCAAAAAAAGUCCCCCAAUGAGCAGCUCCCUGGUCUGAAAGGGCGGGGAAACAGCCCAAUGAGCAUCACCGCAGAGGAACCAAUCAGUUGGCAGCUAGAAGUUUGCUGGGGCCGCUGUGAGCCAAUCAUCAACUGGCAGCUGGAAGUUUGCUGGGGCCCCUUCGGCUGUGGCUCUCAACAACUAAAAACAAACAAAAAAGCACGUCCACAAGUGCCUAACAAGAUAAAUGAAAAAAGGUAUGUUCGGGUUUAUUAUCGUGAAAUUUCAAAACACCAAGGAUUUGGAAGGAAUCCUAAAGGCCUCCGGAGCAGGAGCGAUAAGAAUUAGGUGGCUUCAUACCUCUCAUCAGAAAAGCCACAUGCUGGAAAUCACUAGUGCAAAGCUACAUUGAAAAUAAAACCCUAGUCCCAGCUCAGCUUGCUCUCAGAUUCGAUGACAAAAUCAAGUCUUGUUGAGUGCAAGUUCUCUCAAGUCACCCCGGUACCUCCUGACACAAAUCCUCACUGAAAAAAUAACCCCAGAGGUUAUAGUCCAACCAGGGGCUUCCUAGACCUUCAUAGAGCUCAGAUGUGAAUACAAAUGAAGAUUUCUGAAUGGUGACCCUUUCCCACCUUUCCUCCUACCCUGGGCUCCAUCUCCCAGCUCAUCAUGCGGACAGGAAUCCCAGAAGUCCAAGACCCCCACCCCCACCUGGAGCAGCCUCUCACCAGCGGGCCUCAGGUCUAGCGGGAAGUAUGGUCCGCUCUUGAGAGGUAAGGCCAAGAGAAGAGGGCUGCAGACACCCUGGAAGUGGCCUUGGGACACAUGGAAAGGGGAUCUGGAAUUCCAGGUUCUCAGAGUGUGUGCUGCAAGGCAGGGUCAUGAGCCUGGGUAGGCCUCUGGUAACUUCCACUCUCUGGGGAGGCGCUUGGCUUCGAGAGUAGAAGGGGCCCACAGCAGAGACCCAUCUGCCCAGGGGUAGGGGCAACACUAAGUCCAACAAAUGGGAAUUGAAUCCCAAAGAAGUCAUAGGCUAAAAUAAACCAACCAGGAAUAGAGAGAUGUACUGUGGAAUAGAGUGGACUGGUGCUCAUGGGCUUCAGCAUGUAAUAAUUAGAAUGACAUCGACAAAGCUCACAUUUGCUGAAGACUAACUUUGCACCAUGUUCCCUGCUCCAGGGUCUUACACGGUCCCCAAGGGUCCAGGUGUCUAGGGCUUGAUCACCAGCCUGUGGUGCUUCUGGGAGGUGGUGGAAUCUCUAGGGGGUGGGACUGAAUGGGAGGAAAUAAGGUCAAGUAUGCGGUUGAAG
RNAcentral lists this long non-coding RNA (2185 nucleotides) under Marmota monax (woodchuck). Lineage: Eukaryota; Metazoa; Chordata; Mammalia; Rodentia; Sciuridae. The record is from RNAcentral.